CGGGUGAGUAAUACAUAGGAAUCUGCCCAGUAGCGGGGGACAACCUGGGGAAACUCAAGCUAAUACCGCAUACGCCCUACGGGGGAAAGCAGGGGAUCUUCGGACCUUGCACUAUUGGAUGAGCCUAUGUCAGAUUAGCUUGUUGGUGGGGUAACGGCCUACCAAGGCGACGAUCUGUAGCUGGUCUGAGAGGACGAUCAGCCACACUGGGACUGAGACACGGCCCAG
RNAcentral lists this ribosomal RNA (228 nucleotides) under uncultured bacterium. RNAcentral describes it as "partial 16S ribosomal RNA". It matches the Rfam family "Bacterial small subunit ribosomal RNA", at positions 103 to 334 of the family's 1533-position model. The record is from RNAcentral.